CAGUCGAGGGGCAGCGGGAGGAAAGCUUGCUUUUCUUGCCGGCGACCGGCGCACGGGUGAGUAACACGUAUGCAACCUGCCCAUGACAGGGGGAUAAGCGGGAGAAAUUCCGUCUAAUACCGCAUAACACCCCCGGGAGACAUCUCUCGGGAGCCAAAGGAGCGAUCCGGUCAUGGAUGGGCAUGCGGCGCAUUAGUUAGUUGGCGGGGUAACGGCCCACCAAGGCGACGAUGCGUAGGGGUUCUGAGAGGAAGGUCCCCCACACUGGUACUGAGACACGGACCAGACUCCUACGGGAGGCAGCAGUGAGGAAUAUUGGUCAAUGGGCGAGAGCCUGAACCAGCCAAGUCGCGUGAGGGAAGACGGUCCUACGGAUUGUAAACCUCUUUUGUCGGGGAGCAAUAAGGCGUACGUGUACGCAGAUGCGAGUACCCGAAGAAAAAGCAUCGGCUAACUCCGUGCCAGCAGCCGCGGUAAUACGGAGGAUGCGAGCGUUAUCCGGAUUUAUUGGGUUUAAAGGGUGCGCAGGCGGAAAGUGCAAGUCAGCGGUCAAACGACGGGGCUCAACCCCGUCUCGCCGUUGAAACUGUCUUUCUAGAG
RNAcentral lists this ribosomal RNA (600 nucleotides) under uncultured bacterium. Its description in RNAcentral is "bacterial SSU rRNA". It matches the Rfam family "Bacterial small subunit ribosomal RNA", at positions 59 to 646 of the family's 1533-position model. The record is from RNAcentral.